ACUCCUUAUAGGCGGCAUUCGUCUUAGCAAGAAUUCACAACAAGUUGUUCUUUAGUUUAGUUUGUUUAUAAGCCUUAGGCGUAAGCAAGUAACAGCAAAUCCCCUUUAAGGGAUUUACUCUUGCGAAGCUAAAAAAGCGGUGCUUUUUUUAUACGCUUCUCAGGCCUGUAGCUCAGCUGGUUAGAGCACCGUGUUGAUAACGCGGGGGUCGGCAGCUCAAGUCUGCCCAGGCCUACCAUUAUUUAGGUACAGUGCUUUAGUAAACGGUUGGAAACGCUCAAGCGUAAGCAAGACUUAUAGAAAAUUGCCUUUAAGCAAUUUUCUCUUGCGAGCCUAGCGAAGCAAGGGGCUUUAAAGCUUAAGUAAGGUUAGGAUUAUUAGCAAAUCCCCUUUAAGGGAUUUACUCUUGCGCUCGGAUCAAAGCAGUGCUUUGAUUGUAUCCUCGCUCAGGGGCCAUAGCUCAGUUGGUAAAGCGCCUGCCUUGCACGCAGGAGGUCAACGGUUCGACUCCGUUUGGCUCCACCAUUAUAUAAACAGCGCGAUUAGAUUGAAUAUAAA
RNAcentral lists this transfer RNA (558 nucleotides) under uncultured Gammaproteobacteria bacterium. RNAcentral's name for it is "partial 16S-23S ribosomal RNA intergenic spacer". The stretch from base 450 to 522 matches the Rfam family "tRNA". Lineage: Bacteria; Pseudomonadati; Pseudomonadota; Gammaproteobacteria. The record is from RNAcentral.